Long non-coding RNA from Talpa occidentalis (Iberian mole), 2812 nucleotides. RefSeq lists it as uncharacterized. The transcript has 3 exons. NCBI's taxonomy places the organism in Eukaryota, Metazoa, Chordata, Mammalia, Eulipotyphla, Talpidae. The record is from RefSeq and is a predicted model, not a curated record.
UGCCAGUGAUAGCAUGUUAUCUGGCUUGCCCAGCAUGUGCCAAGCAUGGGCCUCUCCCCAGAUAAUCCUAUUAUCUUGGGAAGGUCAAGACUAAGACUUUUCUGGCUUGCCCAGGUCACACAGCGUGGGGGACACGGCAGGACAUCUGCAGGAGCCGAAACUCUUCCAGGGCUAUCUGGUAGAAUUUGUGGUCAAUAGUUGCUGGUGCAGGUGGGGAAAUGCAGAAGAGAGAAACGCGGCUUUCCCUGUUCUGCAACAUCUCCCUGUCGCUGGUCUUUGAUCCCACAAAAAAGCCAGAGUCUGCCACAAUUUUUCUGUCUCUGCCUGACUUAUUUCGCUUAGCAUAAUACUGUCAAUGUUGUCCAAACAAGGCUCUGCAAGGCCAGAGUUUGCGUGCGCACAGCUGGAUGCAGACUGAGCCAGCCCAGAGCAGCUCAUGUUGGCAAAAGCAUAACAGACUGGCUCCAGGAGGACGCAUCCUGAAGUGGCUCACACACACGUCAGCGCCGGCGGAGCGUAACACGGAGGUCAAGCACAGCACUCAGGAACCAGAGGGAGUAGCUCAAAUCCCCCCCUACCCCUCCGUAACCCUGAAACCCGGGGCAAGAUUCUCAAGCUCUCUGUGCCUCAGUUUCUCCAUGUGGAAAAAGGAAGCACCGCUAACCCAUAGAGUGGCUGCGAAGGCGAUGUGACUAGGGUGUAGGUAAGCACUUGGAUGACAGUGCUGACACGUCACAAGUGCAUGAUAAGUGGCUGCUAUUAUUAAACGAACCGAAAUCAAAACAGACACAAGGAGCUCAGACAAGGCCGAGCAGAUGCAACCGUGCCUGAGCGGACGUCACUGGCGUCAAGCCAGUCAACACAGCUGAAACCCUCGUAGUCCCUCUCACACCUCUCGGGUCAACUGGUGCUAAAGCCAGAGUCAAUCCAGCACAAGGUCUGGAGUCACGUGGCCUGUGGUCAGAGGUCAGGAACCUCUCUGGGUGCACCUUGGGCAGGAACAAAGGCCCCAUACACGUCCCGGGGUGAGCGGUGAUGUGCAGGCGAGGGCGGUGCAAGAAUGCCCCUAAGAGAGACCAAGACAGAACCUGUGGGAAGCACACCUGCUAAAAAACACGCAAACUGCUUCGGUGGGUCAAGGUUCCAGUGUUAGACAUCAUGCUCGUCGUGAUUAGACAAGACACGGGGUCUGAGGACACUCAUAGUUCAGGGACGAGAGUACAGUGGGGACUUCGUGAAGGUGAUCCUGCCCAAGCCACCCCUACCCCCGGCCCAGGGAAGGGGCGCAACUCCUCAAGGCCAAUAGCUGAGUGAGCAGCAGGCUGAGGUGAGAGACCCCGCUGGGAGGUUUGGAGCUUCCAGUGAGAGACCAGAAGUGGGGGGCUAUUGUAAGGCAGCUCCCCCCAAAGGUGAUAAAUGCCCAAAUUCUUAAAGGUUCCUAGCCACCCUGUCCCUUACCUUUCCCCACUCCACGGGCGCUCUCUCCAGGGGACCCCAGUAUUACAUGCCAGCCACCCUAUGUCUCCUAAUGGUGGGGGCAGAUGCUAGGGAGGAGUAGAGGGGAGCUGGAUCUCCUGAACUCACAGUGGGGUGGGCAGAAACCCUUCUAUAGUAGGAGUCAGAAGUUGGGAAGAUGGGGGUGUCCCAGGGGAGUGCCACCACGUGGCUGCCUGGAUGCAGGUGUGCCUGGGUAGAGAGGAGUGCAGGUCAAGGGCCUGGGUGGUAGUCCGGGGCCUUCAGAACCAGUGCCGGCUCUGCCUCUGACGUGCCCUGUGACUUGAACAGGUCUCCACUGCCUCUGGGUCUACUAACCCGUAUCUGAAGUGAGGGUGAGUCCCCCAUGGUCACCGAGGGCUCUAAGCUCUAAGAAAGAUCUUGUUCAGUCCAAUGCUCUUGUUUUCAACUCAAGAAGUAGAGACAGAGGGGGAGUCGCUGGGUCACAGUCCACAGCCAUGGGAGAGGUAGGGAGCUUUCCUCGCCUUCCACCUACUAUGUGCUGGACAAACCCCCUCUGCAAGGACUUCCUACAUCCCAACAAGCACAAAUGUGUGCGCUUCUGCUGUGGGCACCUUCUAUGGGCUGGUCACUUGAUAAGGAUCAUCUCAUUUACCUCCAACAAUCCUCUGAGGCAUUGUCAUCCCCAUUUCACUGAUGAGAAAACUGAGUCCCAGAGACGUGACUCACUCAGACAUGACUAUUGGAAUCCCUGUCUCUAGGUCCCCCAGGGCAGAAGGCAGAAAGAGGAGGAAAUGCCAGAGAUCAAAAUUUCCAUAGAGACGUGCCCCAGAACCAACUUGCGUGGACAAGGGCUGGGGGCCAACUCAGACCCAGAGGAAGCUGGGAGGAUAGUGCCUCGCUGAUUCAUUUUAAAACUAUUAGAUGUAUUUCAGUUUUCAUUCUUUUAUCCUUGCAGAUGCAUACAUCUACGUGACACAUACAGUAAAGAUUCUCACGCUGACUGGUGUGUCUCAUUUACCCUACCUUAGCCCUUGUCCUCACCCUCGACAGGUCACUGCUUUUUAUUAGCAGCUCAUGGCAUCUUUCAGUUUCUUUAUGCCAGCACGCCCUUUUUACAUAAAAGGUAACAAAUAGAGCCUCAGCAAAUAGAGCCUCCUCCUUCCUUUAUGUCACUGCAUAAUAUCCUAUCUUAUACAUGGAAAGAAUUAACUCAAUUCCCUAUUGAUGGAUGUUUGAGUCAUUUCCAGGUUUUGUGGGGUCGUUUUUUGUUUGUUGUUUGUUAAUAUCACAGCAAUACUGUAGUAAAUAAUCACACAAUAUUGUUUCAUUUGUGUGCAUGUAUAUUUGCAGAAUA